RNAcentral lists this ribosomal RNA (497 nucleotides) under uncultured bacterium. RNAcentral's name for it is "partial 16S ribosomal RNA". It matches the Rfam family "Bacterial small subunit ribosomal RNA", at positions 28 to 507 of the family's 1533-position model. The record is from RNAcentral.
GAUGAACGCUGGCGGCGUGCCUAAUACAUGCAAGUCGAGCGAACAGACGAGGAGCUUGCUCCUCUGACGUUAGCGGCGGACGGGUGAGUAACACGUGGAUAACCUACCUAUAAGACUGGGAUAACUUCGGGAAACCGGAGCUAAUACCGGAUAAUAUAUUGAACCGCAUGGUUCAAUAGUGAAAGACGGUUUUGCUGUCACUUAUAGAUGGAUCCGCGCCGCAUUAGCUAGUUGGUAAGGUAACGGCUUACCAAGGCGACGAUGCGUAGCCGACCUGAGAGGGUGAUCGGCCACACUGGAACUGAGACACGGUCCAGACUCCUACGGGAGGCAGCAGUAGGGAAUCUUCCGCAAUGGGCGAAAGCCUGACGGAGCAACGCCGCGUGAGUGAUGAGGGUCUUCGGAUCGUAAAACUCUGUUAUUAGGGAAGAACAAAUGUGUAAGUAACUAUGCACGUCUUGACGGUACCUAAUCAGAAAGCCACGGCUAACUACGUG